CAUGUAGGCGGCAUCGCAAGUCAGGUGUGAAAGCCCCCGGCUCACCUGGGGAAUUGCAUUUGAUACUGCGGAGCUUGAGUGAAGAAGGGGAGAGUGGAACUGCUGGUGGAGCGGUAAAAUGCGUAGAUAUCAGCAGGAACGCCGGUGGAGAAGUCGACUCUCUGGUCUUCAACUGACGCUGAGAUGCGAAAGCGUAGGGGAGCGAACG
RNAcentral lists this ribosomal RNA (208 nucleotides) under uncultured bacterium. RNAcentral describes it as "partial 16S ribosomal RNA". It matches the Rfam family "Bacterial small subunit ribosomal RNA", at positions 568 to 774 of the family's 1533-position model. The record is from RNAcentral.